CAAAAUCGCGAACAGCGCGGAAUGCAGGGAGCACGUCUUUGUAGCAGCAAAAGGGUUAAUGCGGCCGUGGUGGUUUUACUUCAUGAACUGCGCGCUCCCCCCUAAACAUUUUCUCUCGACACUUUCUGGCGGAUGCCGAGGAAGUAGACAGGCGCAGAGUCCGGGCCCGAUGGUUGGCGUAGCGAAGACGUGGCACCUGGACGUUCCAGCUGCGUCGAAGUAUCUUCCGGGCGGCAGUCCGCGAGUGAUGAUUGGCGGCCGUUGGUGAUCCCUGACUGGUGGAUGGCGAUAUCAUAUUGUGACCAUCCGCACUGGAAAAAGGCUCGAGCGCCAGCACUAAGUUGCAGGCGCCGCUUAACUCUGAUGCGGUAGCCGACCAUUGCGUUUGUGUGCCUGUGUGCGCCACGGCAAUGACUUUCAUGUAGUGAAUACACAAAGUGUUGCAGCCACAUUCCCUGUAACACUCUCAGAAGAUAUAUUCUCUCACAUUAACAGGGAUUAAAAUUUCUUAAGAUAGAUCUGGUGGACACUUAUCUUUAAUUACUGUCAUAUGAAUAAUCUCAAAAGUUUCUAGUGCUGAGGAAUCCAUUUCUUCUAUCCAAGUAUCCACAUCUUCCAUUCAGGUUAGCUAGUGCUCCAAUAAUUUCUUAAACAUUUCUAUAACAACUGCAUUCUACAAUGUGGUAAUUGUUUGGAUGACAGUCUGGCAGCCGUGCCACAGAAUUGUAUGAAUGGACCACAGCUGCUCACAGGUGGCACAGAUAGGCUGCGUCAGGUACCUAGCGGCACUCACAUUUACCGAAGGGCAAAAUUCUGUAAAAGUGUGGCGCAUAUGGGCGCAGGUCGGCAGAAACCAAGAAGCACUGCAAGCUGAGCCACUAUACAGUGCAGAUGCAUUUUUCCAGAUUCUAUUUCUGCAAGCCAUAGACCACUAGUCAAGCCCAACAUGGGCUCCCCAAUGAAGCACACAGAAGUUUGUUUAGCACUCUAUACCCAUUUUUGCUUUUGUUUCAUUGCAUUUGUGAAGUACACAGUGUCCCACAAUCGCAAAGAAAGUUUGCUCUGUUCUGGACACACAUCCAUUAGUCUCCCAAGAUCACAUCAUUAGGCAACCCACUCAUAUCACUGAUUUGUUUACACUCUCCUUGGCUCAGUGUUCUAGUUGAUCUAUUGUGCAAACACCCUUACCAUGAUUGCCAGUUAAUAGACAUUGCAUGGCUCAUUUACUCUUCAGUGUAGAAUAAAUAUAUUUAUGAUAAACAUGCACUCUGUCAAUGCCUGUCACCAAGCUGUCACCGUAGUCUCUUACCUGAGCAUAGUGCUUGGGUGCAGCCAUAAAGAUGGCUCACUGGACAACUGACAUAUGAGUGGCAAAACCACACAUUUCAGUUACAACAUCAUUGUCCCAGAUUAAAUUCUGCAACAUCUGCAGACUCAACAAAAGUUGUUUCAUGCAUUACAGACAGCCUUGUCAAAGUACAGCCUACAGAGGUGCCAUUUCUUUCAAGACUCAAUGCAGUACAUAGGGUUUGUUGUAACCCAAAACAAACUAUGACCCACAAAGCUGAGAUGACACUCCCCUAGAAUUUAAAUAGCUUUGCUGAAAAAGGUUAACUAUUGCAGUUGUUUUACCCAAAUGUGGCUUGCAUUUAAAAACCACUAGAUGCGCUCUAGCUUUGCACAGGUAGCACUAAGUAUCUAAAGUGAGAUGACUUGCGUGGUGCAGCAGUAAUUUCAUUUAUGGGCUGCUGCGUAGAGUUAUGAUUAAAACGCAGGUAGAAGAUACAUACAAAAUAGAGACCUGGUGUUUCAUACACAUGCGGUUGCCUUUCUCUUCACCUCAGACUCUAAAAAAGUUACCCCUGAAUGUACAGUAGGCUGCUGAGAAGAGGACUGCAAGAAAUGAGAGCGGUGUGUGUGUGUGUGUGUGUGUGUGUGUGUGUGUGUGUGUGAGACUGUGAAUCAGUUUUUCCCCUCACUCCCUUUUACCCAUGGCUGCAAAUUAUCAGUGGCAUUGACCAUUCAAAAACAUAUCAUCAUACUUCAUUGUCUGCCUUGUUUUGGCAUGUUCCAUUGCUCAAGAUGUAAGCGCUCCAGUUUUCUUUCUUUACAUUUUGAGUUAUUUAGUUAUUUAUAUCUGACCUCCCUGCAGUGGUAGUCCAUGCAAGCCUGGGAUUGCAUUUGGGUGGCCUUCCACUGAUUUCUACGAUUACUGUCAUUCACUGGUGGAUGGCAAUAUCAUUUUCACAGUGCCAGGAGGACUUCAAUUCAUCACAGUUCAGACAAUUUUCACAAAAAUAUUUAUAAAUCAUAUACACAGCCUACCCUCACACAGAUAAAUCAGUCUAUCAAUGCAAAUAGUAUCAAAAUCCCUACAGUAGUUCCUGAGAUUGGCCCAAACACACAGAGAAAAAUCACAUCCGUGGAUUUUAAUUUAUGUAUGAACUAGUGAACCCACUGUUGCUAAAUGUGUAUGGAAACUACACACACACACACACACACACACACACACACACACACACACACACUCUUUAUUGCCCCUCUCUCUGCACAUGUCCUUCUCCCCCCCUCUCUUUUUCCAUUUCCUCCCCUCCCCCCAAAAAAUCUCUCUCCAUCUCCUCCUCACCCCUCCCUCUCUGUCCGUCUGUCCCCCCCCCCCCCCCACUCCAAUCUCUGUCCAUGUCCUCUUGUUCUCCCUAUCUGACCUCGAGCCUUGUUUAUUGUUAUUCCAAAUGAAACCUUGAUUGGGAAAUGAAGUCACUUAAAAUGAAUGGGUAAAUCAGCUGGUAUAAUUAAUAUAAGGGACACAGGAGAGACCUCUCCAGCUGCCGGAUCUGUGCGGAUAGUUUCUUGAAUGACAGUAUUUCUCAUAUUUUUAACCUGUGAAUAGGUAGGGCUGCAAAGUUUCAGAUAAUUUACAUUCCAUAGUAGUAGUCUAAUCAUAUGUCUGUAAGCCAUGAAAACAACAUUCCUCUUUCCACUUAAAACUGACUGCUAUGAAUAAAAAAAAAAUAA
This is a long non-coding RNA of Schistocerca cancellata (South American locust), 3015 nucleotides long. RefSeq lists it as uncharacterized. The transcript has 3 exons. Lineage: Eukaryota; Metazoa; Arthropoda; Insecta; Orthoptera; Acrididae. The record is from RefSeq and is a predicted model, not a curated record.